Molecule: small RNA, 793 nt
Filed under: Pan troglodytes (chimpanzee)
Lineage: Eukaryota; Metazoa; Chordata; Mammalia; Primates; Hominidae
Description: retained intron
Source: RNAcentral
AGCCCUGGAACUAAGCCUGGCUCUGGUAAAUAGCUCCAAUGUGCGAGCCAUGAUGCAAGAGCUGCAGGCCUUUCUGGAGUCCUGCCCUCCUGACCUACGGGCUGACUGUGCCUCAGGCAUCCUGCUGGCUGCAGAGAGGUGAGGUGCCCAGGAGUCGAAGAGGGUAGAAUCUGGGGAGCGUCAGUACCAGGACUGAUGAGCCAUAUAUCCCCUAGGUUUGCUCCAACCAAACGCUGGCACAUAGACACCAUCCUGCAUGUGCUGACAACGGUGAGGCAGGGGCCAGUCAGAGAGCUGGGCAGAAGUGGUCAAGAUUCACCACACUGACUUGGCCAUGCCCACACCUUCCAGGCGGGCACCCAUGUGCGGGAUGAUGCAGUGGCCAACCUGACCCAGCUGAUUGGGGGGGCCCAGGAGCUACAUGCCUACUCUGUGCGCCGCCUCUACAAUGCCCUGGCAGAAGACAUUUCCCAGCAACCACUGGUGCAGGUGGCAGCCUGGUGCAUUGGGGAGUAUGGGGACCUCCUGCUGGCGGGGAACUGCGAGGAGAUUGAGCCCCUUCAGGUGGACGAAGAGGAAGUGCUGGCAUUGCUGGAAAAGGUGCUGCAGUCCCAUAUGUCCCUGCCAGCCACUCGAGGAUAUGCCCUCACAGCCCUCAUGAAGCUCAGCACUCGCCUCUGUGGGGACAACAAGUAAGAAGGGGUCCCAGCCCCUUGAGAGAUGGCCUGUCACUGGGUCCACCCAUUUUUGAGUUUCUUUCCAGGCAUACAUGCCCAGCCCUCCCUACCCCCCA